UACGUAGGGUCAGAGCGUUGUCCGGAAUUACUGGGCGUAAAGAGCUCGUAGGUGGUUUGUCGCGUUGUCCGUGAAAACUCACAGCUUAACUGUGGGCGUGCGGGCGAUACGGGCAGACUGGAGUACUGCAGGGGAGACUGGAAUUCCUGGUGUAGCGGUGGAAUGCGCAGAUAUCAGGAGGAACACCGGUGGCGAAGGCGGGUCUCUGGGCAGUAACUGACGCUGAGGAGCGAAAGCGUGGGGAGCGAACAGG
RNAcentral lists this ribosomal RNA (253 nucleotides) under uncultured bacterium. RNAcentral describes it as "partial 16S ribosomal RNA". It matches the Rfam family "Bacterial small subunit ribosomal RNA", at positions 524 to 776 of the family's 1533-position model. The record is from RNAcentral.